CGAACUGUGAACAUGGAGCAUGCUCUGUGCGAGCAGUGCCGAACGGGUGAGUAACACGUGAGCAACCUGCUCCCGACUCUGGGAUAAGCGCUGGAAACGGCGUCUAAUACUGGAUAUGUGACGUGACCGCAUGGUGUGCGUCUGGAAAGAAUUUCGGUUGGGGAUGGGCUCGCGGCCUAUCAGCUUGUUGGCGAGGUAAUGGCUCACCAAGGCGUCGACGGGUAGCCGGCCUGAGAGGGUGACCGGCCACACUGGGACUGAGACACGGCCCAGACUCCUACGGGAGGCAGCAGUGGGGAAUAUUGCACAAUGGGCGCAAGCCUGAUGCAGCAACGCCGCGUGAGGGACGACGGCCUUCGGGUUGUAAACCUCUUUUAGCAGGGAAGAAGCGAAAGUGACGGUACCUGCAGAAAAAGCGCCGGCUAACUACGUGCCAGCAGCCGCGGUAAUACGUAGGGCGCAAGCGUUAUCCGGAAUUAUUGGGCGUAAAGAGCUCGUAGGCGGUUUGUCGCGUCUGCUGUGAAAUCCGGAGGCUCAACCUCCGGCCUGCAGUGGGUACGGGCAGACUAGAGUGCGGUAGGGGAGAUUGGAAUUCCUGGUGUAGCGGUGGAAUGCGCAGAUAUCAGGAGGAACACCGAUGGCGAAGGCAGAUCUCUGGGCCGUAACUGACGCUGAGGAGCGAAAGGGUGGGGAGCAAACAGGCUUAGAUACCCUGGUAGUCCACCCCGUAAACGUUGGGAACUAGUUGUGGGGUCCAUUCCACGGAUUCCGUGACGCAGCUAACG
This 785-nucleotide ribosomal RNA is filed under the name Microbacterium maritypicum. RNAcentral describes it as "bacterial SSU rRNA". It matches the Rfam family "Bacterial small subunit ribosomal RNA", at positions 63 to 857 of the family's 1533-position model. Lineage: Bacteria; Bacillati; Actinomycetota; Actinomycetes; Micrococcales; Microbacteriaceae. The record is from RNAcentral.